Molecule: ribosomal RNA, 460 nt
Filed under: uncultured bacterium
Lineage: Bacteria
Description: partial 16S ribosomal RNA
Rfam family: Bacterial small subunit ribosomal RNA
Source: RNAcentral
CCUACGGGGGGCAGCAGUGAGGAAUAUUGGUCAAUGGACGAGAGUCUGAACCAGCCAAGUAGCGUGAAGGAUGACUGCCCUAUGGGUUGUAAACUUCUUUUAUAUGGGAAUAAAAUGUUCCACGUGUGGGCUUUUGUAUGUACCAUAUGAAUAAGGAUCGGCUAAAUCCGUGCCAGCAGCCGCGGUAAUACGGAGUAUCCGAGCGUUCUCCGGAUUUAUUGGGUUUAAAGGGAGCGUAGGUGGAUUGUUAAGUCAGUUGUGAAAGUUUGCGGCUCAACCGUAAAAUUGCAGUUGAAACUGGCAGUCUUGAGUACAGUAGAGGUGGGCGGAAUUCGUGGUGUAGCGGUGAAAUGCUUAGAUAUCACGAAGAACUCCGAUUGCGAAGGUAGCUCACUGGACUGCAACUGACACUGAGGCUCGAAAGUGUGGGUAUCAAACAGGAUUAGAUACCCGGGUAGUC